Molecule: long non-coding RNA, 520 nt
Filed under: Nicotiana benthamiana
Lineage: Eukaryota; Viridiplantae; Streptophyta; Magnoliopsida; Solanales; Solanaceae
Description: long non-coding RNA (NBEN_LNC002765)
Source: RNAcentral
GGGAAUGUCGAUCUCGAAUCUACUCUAUAUUAUCACGAACAGAUCCGAACGAGUUCGGGUAUUCUAUUACGGCCAAAGUACGCCGAGACAGAAAGACAAAGUUCUAGAAGAAAAUUAGGGUUCAGAGAGAUGAUUUUUAGGCGAGAUCUCUUGAGCAGAAAUUGGAAAUCAAGGGUUUGAAUUUCAAUCAAAAGAACCGUUUGAAUCAGGACGUUGCAGUUCAGACGAGCCUGAUGUGAUUCUUCAGAUCUUUUAUGAUUUUGGGAAGAGAACAAAUUUGACUUCAAUGAGAGAGGUAACAAUGUGUGCCAUCAGAGAAAAGAGUAAGCUUUUAUCUCAAAAAGGAGGAACAAAGUGUCAGCCAUGGUUGUGGCAGUUCAAGCUUUCGUUAAAAUGGGAAAGGGGCAUGUGAUCGUCGCUGAAGAGAGAGGGGAUGAAGCCAGACGUCACCUAGAUGUUUAGGGAUUUUUCUUCUUCUUACGAUGUAACUAGUUUCGGGUGUAUUCCAAGUUAUUUUUAC